GGCAGCGUGGCUCUGUGGUUAGGGCAUCAGACUGGGGAUCAGGAGACCUGGGUUUUAUUUCUGAUGCUGCCG
This 72-nucleotide transfer RNA is filed under the name Chelonia mydas (Green sea turtle). It matches the Rfam family "tRNA". Rfam says of the family: Transfer RNA (tRNA) molecules are approximately 80 nucleotides in length. The record is from Rfam by way of RNAcentral. Lineage: Eukaryota; Metazoa; Chordata; Testudines; Cheloniidae.